GCGCGUGUAGUUCAAUGGUAGAACACUGUCCUUAUAAGACAGGGGUUGAUGGUUCGAUUCCAUCCACGCGCACCG
This 75-nucleotide transfer RNA is filed under the name Parcubacteria group bacterium RIFCSPHIGHO2_02_FULL_48_10b. RNAcentral's name for it is "tRNA-Ile". It matches the Rfam family "tRNA". Rfam says of the family: Transfer RNA (tRNA) molecules are approximately 80 nucleotides in length. Their secondary structure includes four short double-helical elements and three loops (D, anti-codon, and T loops). Further hydrogen bonds mediate the characteristic L-shaped molecular structure. tRNAs have two regions of fundamental functional importance: the anti-codon, which is responsible for specific mRNA codon recognition, and the 3' end, to which the tRNAs corresponding amino acid is attached (by aminoacyl-tRNA synthetases). tRNAs cope with the degeneracy of the genetic code in two manners: having more than one tRNA (with a specific anti-codon) for a particular amino acid; and 'wobble' base-pairing, i.e. permitting non-standard base-pairing at the 3rd anti-codon position. RNAcentral also lists the same sequence under 1 other name. The record is from RNAcentral.